This 72-nucleotide transfer RNA is filed under the name Camelus bactrianus (Bactrian camel). It matches the Rfam family "tRNA". Rfam says of the family: Transfer RNA (tRNA) molecules are approximately 80 nucleotides in length. RNAcentral also lists the same sequence under 3 other names. The record is from Rfam by way of RNAcentral. Lineage: Eukaryota; Metazoa; Chordata; Mammalia; Artiodactyla; Camelidae.
GAGAGUAUAGCUCAGUGGUAGAGUGCAUGCUUAGCAUUCAUGAGGUCCUGGGUUCAAUCCCCAGUACCUCCA